RNAcentral lists this ribosomal RNA (473 nucleotides) under uncultured bacterium. Its description in RNAcentral is "bacterial SSU rRNA". It matches the Rfam family "Bacterial small subunit ribosomal RNA", at positions 335 to 799 of the family's 1533-position model. The record is from RNAcentral.
ACUCCUACGGGAGGCAGCAGUGGGGAAUAUUGCACAAUGGGCGCAAGCCUGAUGCAGCCAUGCCGCGUGUGUGAAGAAGGCCUUCGGGUUGUAAAGCACUUUCAGUCGUGAGGAAGGUAGUGUAGUUAAUAGCUGCAUUAUUUGACGUUAGCGACAGAAGAAGCACCGGCUAACUCCGUGCCAGCAGCCGCGGUAAUACGGAGGGUGCGAGCGUUAAUCGGAAUUACUGGGCGUAAAGCGCACGCAGGCGGCUUGUUAAGCUAGAGGUGAAAGCCCCGCGCUCAACGUGGGAACUGCCUUUAGAACUGGCAGGCUAGAGUCUUGGAGAGGGGAGUGGAAUUCCAGGUGUAGCGGUGAAAUGCGUAGAUAUCUGGAGGAACAUCAGUGGCGAAGGCGGCUCCCUGGCCAAAGACUGACGCUCAUGUGCGAAAGUGUGGGUAGCGAACAGGAUUAGAUACCCUGGUAGGACAGUG